Lathyrus oleraceus (garden pea) is the source of this 938-nucleotide long non-coding RNA. RefSeq lists it as uncharacterized. NCBI's taxonomy places the organism in Eukaryota, Viridiplantae, Streptophyta, Magnoliopsida, Fabales, Fabaceae. The transcript has 2 exons. The record is from RefSeq and is a predicted model, not a curated record.
GGGUGAUAUCGUUGAGUUGUGGUGGUGGAGGGUGAGUGGUCGAUUUGUUAGAAGGAGAAGAAGAUGAAGUUGCCGGCGAUGAUGCCUCCCGUCUCCAGAUAAGCCUCCUUCUUCUAUUUCGUUUUUUAGGGUUUUGAAAAAAAAGAGCUUUGCUGCGUUUAUGUUGUUCUUGAUUUUGGGUUUUGAAAAAUAGCUUUUGCUGCAUUUAUGGUUGUUCUUGCUGUUGUGUUUAGAGUUUCUUUUUGAAAAAAUCUCUUACUGUUGAUCUGUUCUUUAGGCUUUUUGAGAAAAAGUUGUUUUUUCUGUUGUUGUGGUUUUGGCUUUUUGAGAAGAAAUCUCUUACUGUGUUGUGUCUCUUUGGAGUUAACAGAGAAAAAAACUUUGAAAAAUUCUUCUAGAUUUUAUAAAACGUGUUUCUGUUAAUUAGUUUUGUGGUUUAUAUACAUGAAUGUUGGUUUCUGUGAGAUAACUUGUUGGAUCCUAUUUCCAGAUUUUGUGGGAUGAUUUAUCUAUGGAUUUAAAGUUGUUUAUUUGGAUACUGCAGUGUGUUUCUGAGCUCUUCCUUUGAUUGAUUCAUUGUGUGAAUUCAACAGGUUUUGGAAAAGUUCUGAAGAGUUGGUUUUGAAUUGGGAACUUCCAAAAGAGCUUUUGGAUGAGUCGGUGAAAUUUGCUUCAAACUGCUGUGUUUACCUCUUAUUUUAAUUUUAUUUUAUAAAAUUAUUUCUGAUGUAACAAAGACUUUUUGGAUUAUGAACUUAGGGAUUGCUUGUAACAUGUACAAACUUAAUUUGGAAUUUCUCUUUUUGGACAAUUAUGUAAUUGUUUGCGAUUAUUAGGAAUUUUUGGAUUAGUUAGGAUAUAUUAACGGUAAGAAAAAUUGGGUUAGACGUGUAACACUUUGGAUCAUUUGCAAAAUUUACAUAAUUUUAAUUUAUUUA